CAGCAGCCGCGGUAAUACGGGGGGUGCAAGCGUUGUUCGGAAUUAUUGGGCGUAAAGAGCGUGUAGGCGGUUUGUUAAGUCUGAUGUGAAAGCCCUGGGCUCAACCCAGGAAGUGCAUUGGAAACUGGCAGACUUGAAUACGGGAGAGGGCAGUGGAAUUCCUAGUGUAGGAGUGAAAUCCGUAGAUAUUAGGAGGAACACCGAUGGCGAAGGCGGCUGCCUGGACCGAUAUUGACGCUGAGACGCGAAAGCGUGGGUAGCAAACAGGAUUAGAUACCCUGGUAGUCCACGCCGUAAACGAUGAGAACUAGGUGUUGCGGGUAUUGACCCCUGCAGUGCCGCAGCUAACGCAUUAAGUUCUCCGCCUGGGAAGUACGGUCGCAAGACUAAAACUCAAAGGAAUUGACGG
This 409-nucleotide ribosomal RNA is filed under the name uncultured bacterium. RNAcentral describes it as "bacterial SSU rRNA". It matches the Rfam family "Bacterial small subunit ribosomal RNA", at positions 509 to 916 of the family's 1533-position model. The record is from RNAcentral.